AAUUAGAGGGGGCCCUUAUGGUUGUUCUAAUGUCCGCCACUCCCUGAUUCGUCAAAGAUCCCAGUUACUUUUUACAGUGACAAAAUCUUGAGUCCCAAAAUUCAGUUCUUUCAGAUGUCUGGAUUACAGGGUUACGAGUUAUGCAGCUUCAUUUCAAAGAAUCCUUCCAUUUUGAUUCAAAGCUUCAAGAGAACAUUUGUCCCCUCAGUUGAAGCUAUUAGGAAAAUUGUGUGCGACAAGAAAGAUUUCAUUUUUGUGUUACGGCUGGAUACUCCCAAAGUACAAAAGGUUUAUGCAGGAUGUCGUCUUUUUGGAGAGGUGUGGCAUUCUUGGGACUCAUCUUGCCUUGCUACUCAAACUUCAUCCAAGGCUUUUCCUUGCAAUUCAAGAAUGGUUGUCCUUGCAAUUCAAGAAUGGUUGUCCAUGCAAUUCAUACAUUAAGUUGUUUGAGCGAUAAAACCUUUGAGUGAAAGCUGAAACUAGUUAAUUGUUUUGGGUUUUUCAAGGAUGAGGGCCCGCAAAAGUUCAAGAGAAUCCCGACUUUGUUUAGAACAUCAGAGAAGAAGUCGAAAGUUGGAUGAAAUUCUUCUUGCAUACAGGUACGCUGCCCAAGUCUGUCCUUAUUCACCAUGGACGGUCGCAUGCUUUCUUGAUGAAGUUUUCCAGCUGUUGAAAUAAAAAAAUCUCUGCAAGAAAGUCCCCAGUUAUAUUCAUGUGUUGUGCUUGUCUGAGGAGAUGUUCUUGGACAAGUAUAUAUCACAAUUCAGAAAAAAUGCAGUGGGGUCAUUAUAUUUUUAACAGUGUUCUUGACAGUGUUGUGCAAGCUUAAUUUAGUUUCUUAUAUUUUUAAGUUUUUUUUCGAGACAGGGUUACCAUAUAUCCUUUCCUUCUACAGUAGCAAAAGUAGACUUGAUUAGAUAUGAGUUUCCUUAUCUCAAGCAAAGCCCAUGCGGGAGUGAAGGAAAUUCUGGGUUGAUUUCAAUCCCACAAAAGCACAAAAAGCACACAGAAUCAGUUUAACGUUUGAUUUUUAAUUAUAUUGUGUGUUUUUGUGGGAUUCAAUUAUACGGUGUUUAAGGAUCUAUGAACGUGCUUAUGUUGGUUUGAAUUAUAUGGUGUUUAAAGAUUGAUCGAUGUGCAUCUGUUGGAUUGAAUUAUAUGGUGUGCUUUUGUCAGAUGUUUAACUAUCAAUCGAUGUGCUUUUGUCGGAUUGAAUAAUGCAAGCAUUAUCAGUUUUUAUUGCAAGGAUUAUCACUAGAUCGUGGAGGGAAACUAAGAAUUGAAGGGGGUGCAUGGUGUGCAAAUGGAGGGUGGAAAUUCUAUGAUCUUUGUAUCUGGCUUUGACCUUUCUAUCUCAAUGUUUUAUUUACCAGUUCACCGAUGUGUAUUCUGAUUUAUUUUCUUAAUGGGUGAACUUGUUUUGUUUGAUAUCAUCAUGCUUCUAUUGAUGGUUUAUGGUUCAAAAGAGGCACUUAGGAUGAGCAUUUGGGACAAGUGUGGUUGGGAUUUACUCUCUGGUUUGAUG
Vigna unguiculata (cowpea) is the source of this 1525-nucleotide unclassified non-coding RNA. The record is from RefSeq and is a predicted model, not a curated record. NCBI's taxonomy places the organism in Eukaryota, Viridiplantae, Streptophyta, Magnoliopsida, Fabales, Fabaceae.